RNAcentral lists this unclassified non-coding RNA (274 nucleotides) under Hevea brasiliensis (rubber tree). The record is from RNAcentral. Lineage: Eukaryota; Viridiplantae; Streptophyta; Magnoliopsida; Malpighiales; Euphorbiaceae.
AGGGUCUCCUAUUUCAUAUUUAUAGGAUUAAAAAAAAAAAGAAAGCAACCCGAUAUCUGGGUAUGCUAUUAUCUGAUCUUAAGACCCUCAAGCAAUUAAUGGGGGAAAAAAAGGAAUCACAGCUGCUCAAAAAAAGAAUUCUUGAAGGGUGGACUUACCCGUUUUGAAACAGAAGAGACUUUAACAGAGACCAGAAGCCUGAAAAUAUAGCAAGUUAGCCUCUUUUCCUAGGUUUUUUUCCUCUUUAAUUUCGGGCAUGGAGGCUCGAGAAAAA